GGAGGGUGGCAGAGUGGUCGAUCCGCACGCUUGGAAAGCGUGUAGGUGUAAAGCCUUCGAGGGUUCGAAUCCCUCUCUCUCCGCCA
RNAcentral lists this transfer RNA (86 nucleotides) under Pseudomonadota bacterium. Its description in RNAcentral is "tRNA-Ser". It matches the Rfam family "tRNA". Rfam says of the family: Transfer RNA (tRNA) molecules are approximately 80 nucleotides in length. Lineage: Bacteria; Pseudomonadati; Pseudomonadota. The record is from RNAcentral.